UUGGAGGGCAAGUCUGGUGCCAGCAGCCGCGGUAAUUCCAGCUCCAAUAGCGUAUAUUAAAGUUGUUGCAGUUAAAAAGCUCGUAGUUGAAUUUCGGGGUCAGUAGAUUGGUCAUGCCACUGGUAUGUACUGGUCUCACUGAUUCCUCCUUCCUGAUGAGCCGUAAUGCCAUUAAGUUGGUGUUGCGAGGAAUCUGGACUGUUACUUUGAAAAAAUUAGAGUGUUUAAAGCAGGCUAACGCUUGAAUACAUUAGCAUGGAAUAAUGAAAUAGGACGUUCGAUCUUAUUUUGUUGGUUUCUAAGAUUGACGUAAUGAUUAAUAGGGAUAGUUGGGGGCAUUAGUAUUCAAUUGUCAGAGGUGAAAUUCUUGGAUUUAUUGAAGACUAACUACUGCGAAAGCAUUUGCCAAGGAUGUUUUCAUUAAUCAAGAACGAAAGUUAGGGGAUCGAAGACGAUCAGAUACCGUCGUAGUCUUAACCAUAAACUAUGCCGACUAGGGAUCGGAUGAUGUUAAUUUUUUAAUGACUCAUUCGGCGCCUUACGGGAAAC
This 549-nucleotide ribosomal RNA is filed under the name Funneliformis mosseae. Its description in RNAcentral is "SSU rRNA". It matches the Rfam family "Eukaryotic small subunit ribosomal RNA", at positions 548 to 1098 of the family's 1831-position model. The record is from RNAcentral. Lineage: Eukaryota; Fungi; Glomeromycota; Glomeromycetes; Glomerales; Glomeraceae.